This 501-nucleotide ribosomal RNA is filed under the name Yersinia rohdei. Its description in RNAcentral is "bacterial SSU rRNA". It matches the Rfam family "Bacterial small subunit ribosomal RNA", at positions 21 to 511 of the family's 1533-position model. Lineage: Bacteria; Pseudomonadati; Pseudomonadota; Gammaproteobacteria; Enterobacterales; Yersiniaceae. The record is from RNAcentral.
GGCUCAGAUUGAACGCUGGCGGCAGGCCUAACACAUGCAAGUCGAGCGGCAGCGGGAAGUAGUUUACUACUUUGCCGGCGAGCGGCGGACGGGUGAGUAAUGUCUGGGAAACUGCCUGAUGGAGGGGGAUAACUACUGGAAACGGUAGCUAAUACCGCAUGACCUCGCAAGAGCAAAGUGGGGGACCUUCGGGCCUCACGCCAUCGGAUGUGCCCAGAUGGGAUUAGCUAGUAGGUGGGGUAAUGGCUCACCUAGGCGACGAUCCCUAGCUGGUCUGAGAGGAUGACCAGCCACACUGGAACUGAGACACGGUCCAGACUCCUACGGGAGGCAGCAGUGGGGAAUAUUGCACAAUGGGCGCAAGCCUGAUGCAGCCAUGCCGCGUGUGUGAAGAAGGCCUUCGGGUUGUAAAGCACUUUCAGCGAGGAGGAAGGCCAAUAGCUUAAUACGCUGUUGGAUUGACGUUACUCGCAGAAGAAGCACCGGCUAACUCCGUGCCAG